GUGAGGAAUAUUGCGCAAUGGAGGCAACUCUGACGCAGCCAUGCCGCGUGCAGGAAGAAGGCGCUACGCGUUGUAAACUGCUUUUAACCGGGAAGAAACCCCAGGACGUGUCCUGGGUUGACGGUACCGGAGGAAUAAGCACCGGCUAACUUCGUGCCAGCAGCCGCGGUAAUACGAAGGGUGCAAGCGUUAUCCGGAAUCAUUGGGUUUAAAGGGUGCGUAGGCGGAGCGUUAAGUCAGUGGUGAAAUCCUGCAGCUUAACUGUAGACUUGCCAUUGAUACUGGCGCUCUUGAGUGAGCUUGAAGUUGGCGGAAUGUGACGUGUAGCGGUGAAAUGCUUAGAUAUGGCACAGAACACCAAUUGCGAAGGCAGCUCACUAAGGCGAUACUGACGCUGAGGCACGAAAGCGUGGGGAUCGAACAGGAUUAGAUACCCCGGUAGUCC
This 445-nucleotide ribosomal RNA is filed under the name uncultured bacterium. RNAcentral describes it as "partial 16S ribosomal RNA". It matches the Rfam family "Bacterial small subunit ribosomal RNA", at positions 354 to 796 of the family's 1533-position model. The record is from RNAcentral.